RNAcentral lists this ribosomal RNA (266 nucleotides) under uncultured bacterium. RNAcentral describes it as "partial 16S ribosomal RNA". It matches the Rfam family "Bacterial small subunit ribosomal RNA", at positions 88 to 354 of the family's 1533-position model. The record is from RNAcentral.
CCGGCGACCGGCGCACGGGUGAGUAACACGUAUGGAACCUGCCCGCAGCAGGGGGAUAAGCGGAAGAAAUUCCGUCUAAUACCGCGUAACAACGUUGGGAGGCAUCUCCCGAUGUUUAAAGAUUUAUCGGCUGCGGAUGGCCAUGCGGCGCAUUAGCUAGUCGGCGGGGUAACGGCCCACCGAGGCGACGAUGCGUAGGGGUUCUGAGAGGAAGGCCCCCCACACUGGGACUGAGACACGGCCCAGACUCCUACGGGAGGCAGCAG